GCAAACUUGGUCAUUUAGAGGAAGUAAAAGUCGUAACAAGGUUUCCGUAGGUGAACCUGCGGAAGGAUCAUUACAGAAUAAAUGUGAUAGGUUGUCGCUGGCCCUUGGGCAUGUGCACGCUUGUCAUUUUUAUCUUUCCACCAAGUGCACUUUGCAUAGGACUGAAAAGCUUUUUGAUCAAGGGGGUCACCUUUGAUUUCUGGAGACUGCAGUUGUAAUUCAAUGACAGCUUUCUCUGCCUUCAGUUCCUAUGAUUUUAUACACAUACACCAAUUGCAUGUUAAAGAACGUAGUACUUGGCUUUUUCAAGCCUUUAUGAAAAUACAACUUUCAGCAACGGAUCUCUUGGCUCUCGCAUCGAUGAAGAACGCAGC
RNAcentral lists this unclassified non-coding RNA (374 nucleotides) under uncultured fungus. RNAcentral describes it as "partial contains small subunit ribosomal RNA, internal transcribed spacer 1, and 5.8S ribosomal RNA". The stretch from base 1 to 73 matches the Rfam family "Eukaryotic small subunit ribosomal RNA", at positions 1759 to 1831 of the family's 1831-position model. The record is from RNAcentral. Lineage: Eukaryota; Fungi.